RNAcentral lists this unclassified non-coding RNA (348 nucleotides) under soil metagenome. RNAcentral's name for it is "partial contains 5.8S ribosomal RNA, internal transcribed spacer 2, and large subunit ribosomal RNA". The stretch from base 1 to 120 matches the Rfam family "5.8S ribosomal RNA", at positions 35 to 154 of the family's 154-position model. The record is from RNAcentral.
GAUGAAGAACGCAGCAAAAUGCGAUAAGUAAUGUGAAUUGCAGAAUUCAGUGAAUCAUCGAAUCUUUGAACGCACAUUGCACCCGCUGGUAUUCCGGCGGGCAUGCCUGUUCGAGCGUCAUUUCAACCCUCAAGCCCCCGGGUUUGGUGUUGGGGAUCGGCUCUGCCCUUCUGGGCGGUGCCGCCCCCGAAAUACAUUGGCGGUCUCGCUGCAGCCUCCAUUGCGUAGUAGCUAACACCUCGCAACUGGAACGCGGCGCGGCCAUGCCGUAAAACCCCAACUUCUGAAUGUUGACCUCGGAUCAGGUAGGAAUACCCGCUGAACUUAAGCAUAUCAAUAAGCGGAGGA